UAAACUAGAAUUCAGCUCAAAAAAUAAGGAAAAUGGUUAUGGCGUAUACCUGAUAACAAGGAAAAAGAUCCAGAUUUAGCUUCGUACUUGCUCAGUGAGACACCUGUACAGUAAACAGAUUACGAGAAGCGGAAAAUGUGAGUGUGAAAGUCAGUCAUCACUGAUGAAGUUUUGAGAGAAAAAGAAAAAAAAAAAAUUGUUGGAGGAGGUCAAAUAUAACUCACAAGUGAAGAGAACGUUAGCUUAAAUGGGUCUUGAGUUUGUUAAUCAAAAGGUGGUUCUGGUGUAGCAAUCGGUCCCUAAGCUACAAACAGCAGCAGGUUAAAUGAGUGGAAUUGUUUUGAAAAAAGAGAAUAAAGGGUUGAGAGCUACAGCAGUAGUGGUCGGCAUUAAUGAUAGUGGACUAUACUCGUGUAGAGAGAGAGAGAGAGAUGUAAGGGUCAGGUGGGGGUGAGCUCCGAGAGCACGAGGUUCAAGGAGUUGCAGAGGGUGGUGGUGAUGGCGAUGGUGGUGGUGGAGGUGGUUUUGGAGGAGGAGACUAUCUCUGCGUCUGGUUCUGGUCCUUUUUACACAUCACCAACCAUGGUCCCUACUUCUCCCACAUGUCUUUAAUUCUUUUUUCUAUCAGUUACAUCCUUAGUCCUUUGUUAAAUGUAAAACACAAAAUUAGUCCAACUUAAUUGUUUCACUUUGGGUCUCACCCAUGGUUUAGUGUGAAGUCAGUGUGGUUCAAUUAUGGAAGAUUGCUUAACCUAAAUUGUUAUGGUUAAAAAUGAUUCGAUUACGAUCCUUUAA
Molecule: long non-coding RNA, 795 nt
Filed under: Helianthus annuus (common sunflower)
Lineage: Eukaryota; Viridiplantae; Streptophyta; Magnoliopsida; Asterales; Asteraceae
Description: hypothetical non coding rna
Source: RNAcentral